Molecule: ribosomal RNA, 479 nt
Filed under: uncultured bacterium
Lineage: Bacteria
Description: partial 16S ribosomal RNA
Rfam family: Bacterial small subunit ribosomal RNA
Source: RNAcentral
GACGAACGCUGGCGGCGUGCUUAACACAUGCAAGUCGAACGGAAAGGCCUCUUCGGAGGUACUCGAGUGGCGAACGGGUGAGUAACACGUGGGUGAUCUGCCCUGCACUCUGGGAUAGGCCUGGGAAACUGGGUCUAAUACCGGAUAGGACCAUGCUUUAGUGUGUGUGGUGGAAAGUCUUUUCGGUGUAGGAUGAGCCCGCGGCCUAUCAGCUUGUUGGUGGGGUCAUGGCCUACCAAGGCGGAGACGGGUAGCCGGACUGAGAGUUUGGUCGGCCACAUUGGGACUGAGAUACGGCCCAGACUCCUACGGGAGGCAGCAGUGGGGAAUAUUGCACAAUGGGCGCAAGCCUGAUGCAGCGACGCCGCGUGGGGGAUGACGGCCUUCGGGUUGUAAACUCCUUUCGCCAGGGACGAAGCGUUUUGUGACGGUACCUGGAGAAGAAGCACCGGCUAACUACGUGCCAGCCGCCGCAGUAA